UGGUUUGGGAGUGUCUGAGUGGGCUCAACACACACAAAUCCAUGGGUCCUGAUGGGAUGCAUCCGCGUGUGAUAAGGGAGCUGGCAGAUGUGAUUGCCGAACCGCUCUCUAUCACCUUUGAAAGAUCCUGGAGAAUGGGUGAGGUGCCUGAAGACUGGAGGAUAGCCAGUGUCACUCCGAAGUGCCUUCGUAGCCCUUCUGUGGACAUGUUCC
Molecule: long non-coding RNA, 213 nt
Organism: Oxyura jamaicensis (ruddy duck)
Lineage: Eukaryota; Metazoa; Chordata; Aves; Anseriformes; Anatidae
Exons: 3
Source: RefSeq, a predicted model, not a curated record